Molecule: long non-coding RNA, 4871 nt
Filed under: Canis lupus familiaris (dog)
Lineage: Eukaryota; Metazoa; Chordata; Mammalia; Carnivora; Canidae
Description: lncRNA (ENSCAFG00030005376.1)
Source: RNAcentral
AUGAAAAUCUGCCCGGGCCAGAGACCGGAAGAAGAGGAGCCAAGGGACCCAGAGGGGGGUGUUCAGGAAGAACUGAGGCCGCGUCCUCUAGCAGCAGGCCGAGGAGCCCUGCCCGCCGCAGCAGAGCCGCAGCCCAGCCUGAGCAUCCUGGGGCCCCACCGAGGCCCGGCAAGGAGGCCUCCCCGUCUGCGGGGCCCAGCCUGGCUCUGCGGGUCUGACCUCCGCCCCCCUUCGGCGCGCGAGGCCCCGCACCCGCCGGGAGGGAGCCGCCUGGUGGGUGCAAGGAGGUGCCCGCCCGCGUGCGUGAGAAACGCAUUCACACCCUCCCGGACGCAGGGUGCAUGUUCGCGUGCACGGACACGUACACUUUUGUCCUCAAAGGCUCCCAAACGCGCCCAGAAGUCACUCGUGAGCACUCGCGCACGUGCACACACGCACGCCCGGAGCCUGGAGCACGGCUCCCCAUCCCCACGGCACGGGCCCCGCGAGCGCUCGGCCCCGCGGGAGCCCCGCCGCGCCCCAGCCCGCCCGCGGCCCCGCACGCCACCGGCCGGGGCCCCCGCGACGCGCGCGCCCCCGCCCCCGCCCGGCCCGGUUCCGCCCGGCCCGGGUUCCGCCCGGCCCGGCCCGGCCCCAGGCCACUCACCGGCGCGCGGGCGGCUCGGCUGCCUCGGAGGAGCGGCGCGCGGGCGGCCGGAGCGGAGCGGGGCGGAGCGGGCGGAGCGGAGGGUCCCACACUCGCGGCCGCACGCCCGUCCGCCCGGUUCCGCCGCCGCCUGCGCGGGCCCGCGCGCUCCCGCCCCUCCCCGCCGCGGGCCCGCGCCGCCCCCUGCGCUCGCUCCCGCGCGGCCGCCACGCUGGCCCGGGGGCGCCCCGGGGAGACCGCAAGGCGCCCGGAGCCCCCGGGGCCGCGAGACGUCCGCGCAGCCCAGGCGCCCCCUCCCCGUUCCAAAGAUGGGGAGACUGAGGCCCAGACCCUGCCGGCGAGUCGGCGCCAGCAGACCCCCCUUCACCCCUAGUCCCCGGGCUCUAGACGCUCAGGGCUGGGGUCCGCACUCAGCGAACCGGGGACCCGCCCCCGCAUCCCUGGGUACCCCCCGACGCGGCCCCCUCCACGGCCCUGCGCGCCCUGGGUAGCCAAUCAGCUCUUAUUGCGCGCCUACUGGAUGCGGCGCACGUUUAGGAGGAAGCUCCAAGGGCAUCUCCGCCUGGUGAAGGUGCUGCCCCCUGCCCUCAAAGCGCCAGCGUCUCCUUAUAUGGAGCUCCCCAAUGCCUGUGAACCCCGAGAUAGGGAGAGUCGAGGUGCAAAGGUUUCCGGGAGAAGGCCCUACUGAGUGGGUAACACCCUCUCUAAGGAGACAGAGUCUCCAUGGGGCCCCGAAGGCUGCAGCUGGCCUCCUAAGGGAACCUGCGCGCCCCCUUCCCCCAAGAAGGGCUCCGGGCCGGCUCGCUCAGCUCCCGCCUCCUGCAUCGGCCGCUGCUCCUCCACAGGCAGGACCGUGCGGUGUCCCCCCAGGACGCCUGGAACCAGGAACUGACACUGACCACCUGCCGGCUGUCCAGCUUAGUGACAGCACCGUGCCGAGCCCGCAGAGGACCCCCCGGCGCUCCACCUGGCUGCGACCUGUGACAGUAACGACACCCGUAGGACCCCCGCCAGGUGCCAUACUCACAACCGCACAGCCAUUCUGCGAAGGAGGCGUUAUGCCACUUUCAUGCCCGUUUUACAGAUAAGAUAAAUGAGGUUUAGAACAGAAGCUGAGAGAGCCCAGUUCUCUUGCUCAAAGUCACCCAGUUGGUAAGGGUUGAGCAGGGAGCUAGACCACAGCACAGACUAACUCCAGUGCCCAGUCUCGGCAGUCCCACCUCAUAAACAACAUAGCUCUGGACUGCUGGUAUAAGAGGGCACGGGGGACAGCUGGCACAGACGGCCCAGCCCAGUCCCAGCCUUGCCGUGAACCAGCAGGGACAGAACAGGUCAUUCUACACGUUGGUUAGCGGUUUGGUCGGGGACCUACUUACAGUCUCACUUCACAUGAUACGCAUCACAACAGAUAUCAGAUAGAUUGAAGAGGUAACUCCAAGAAAUAAGCGUUUCAGAAAGUGAUAGAAAUAAAUAGAAGUUCUGAGACAGUGUGUUGCAGUGUUGCUGGCAGGCCAAUGAUUAGGGACCGUAUCAAUGCAGUAAACAUUAAUUUCCUCAUUCAAUCACCUGACACUUAUCUACGAGCACCGGCUAUGGGUCAGGUCCUAUUCUAGGCGCUGGGAUACAGUCGUGAACAAAAUAUAGCCCUGGCUCUCCUGGUGCUUCAUUCUGGGGGUGGGGUGUGUGGGGAAGCAAUUGCAAAUAUCCGGCAUGGCUGAAAUUAAUAAGCUUGGUGGAGAAAAUAAAACAGGGAGGGGAUAGGAGAGCCCAGGGGUGCUUUUUCAUACAGGGUGCUGGAAGAAGGCCUCUCUGAUGAGGUGAUGUUUGAGCAGAGGGGAAGUGAUGAGAGGUCGUCUGUAUGUAGGACAGGCCCCGGGUUCCAAGAACAGUCCUGGUAAGCUCCAGAGCAAGAACCUGAAAUUCCCCUUUGAAGGAAACUUUGAGAUCAGUGCCAGACCACCGGGAAGAGAAGCGCUGGGACCUCUGCGUAUUAGUAUAGGACUCUGCAGUUGGCGAAGUUGUGUCCCAGCCUCAUGGAGCCCCUUUAACGGGUCCUCCUAAUAUCCUCAUUUUCCAGUUAGGAAACUGAAGCUCAGAGAGGUCAAGCAACCUGCCCCAGGUCACACAGUACACAUCUCUGCGGCCGGCAAAGAUGGGUCUGACUACAGGCAAGCUGACACUAAUGCUGAGUGUUAGGGGGAAAGAGAAGGCUCGUGCAUGCCCCCUACCCCCGCCUUCCUGCCCUCUUGGACUAUAAUUCAGGAGCUGGCAGGGUGGAGCACUCACUGUUUUCCUGGCCUUUCUCCUUCUCACCCACUUCCUUCCCCUCUGGCCUGGUCCCAGCCCCAGGUGAUAUGCUGGGGGGAUAAAUCAGGUCAAAUUCAACCCAGAGAUUCUCCAAAUUCUCUGCGCUACCCCCACUACCCUGGCCAGGGUGGGAAGUAGAGGGAAAAGGGUGCAACCUAAACCCCAUUCAACUUUUGUUUUUAACUCAAAGGAUUUUUCACCGAGUCCCUAAAUGAGUCACCGUGAAGAGGUGCUUCGCAAAAUGACUCCCAGAAUUAGAAUCAACAUCUCCCUACACACGCUGCCUGACACUUCCUCCUACAGUGGCAUUUAUGAAUCUAGUCUGGGAGAAAGUCUCUCUCUGUCUACCCCCAAGAGUUUCAGGAUUAAGCCUGUGUCAUUUCAUUAUUUCUCUGCAUUAGGAGAAGAGAAGCUACUAUUGCUGGUACCUUCUCUGCACCCAGCUCUGCAUGAGGCAUUUCAUUCUCCCAGUAUCCCUCGAGAUGGGGGUCAUGCUUUCUGUUUUACAGAUGAAUAGGGUGAGGCUCAGAGUCGUAAAGUAGUUUGAACAUAGCUAGGAUUUGAACCCGGGUGUGCAGUUUGUUGUCAGUAUUUGUCAGAAGGGGACAAGAGGAGGCAUGAGAAACUAGAAAUCAGACCAGACCCUUUGGACAAAAGUUCUCCUUGCCAGCUUCCUGAUGAUGGGGACUUUUGCAGGGGGACCAAUCUCAGUUUUCCCAAGAAGUCUCAUUUCUGCUUACUGUCUGGGCAACAUUAUAAUAUUAACAGCAUCCCCAAAGUGUUGUGGUUCUGGUGAUCAACUUUAGGGUCAUCCUGGUUGUGUGCAAAGGCAGCUGCAUUGAAGCUUUCAAUUUUUACAUUAUAUUCGAUACAAAAUAGGGGCCUCUUGUCUGAGGGGCCUUCUCCACAUCCUGAUGGCUGUGUGUCCAAACAAGAGUUUAUGGAGCUUUCCAAGAGCAGCCAGCCCAGCUGGCUGGGGAAGGAGUCAGGGCUGUGCGUCAGGCAGGACUCUCUCCCUCCCACCCCAACUCUGCCAUUUACUCCCUAUGUAACUCUGGGCCAGUUUCCCAGCUGGCAAAGUGAGGGAUGGAUCUCCAAAAGCUCUGUCAACUUUGACCUUCUAGGGUUUCCCAUUGGCCAGUGAAUGCUGGGAAAUCAGCUAACCAUUUCAGUGAAGACCAGGAAUGCAGGGAGCCCUCCUCCCCUCCACACCAUCACGUGGUCCGUUUUUCAAAACAGCAUACCUCAAUUUUUAGCUAUUUUAAGUUUUAAAACGUUUAUUUCAUUUAUUAUUUGAAUAGCUGAUACCCACAGCUCAAAAUUCAAAAGGUGCCAGAAAGAUAACAUGGCAAAAAGUUUCCUUUCCUUUCCCUCCAGCUACCUCCUUCUUUUCCCUGGAGGAAACCAGCGUUGCCAAACACGCUCUGUUCCCAGACAGUGUGUUUUGCGUGUGUGUGUGUGUGUGUGUAUAGUUUCUCAUUUUUUUUUUGUACAAAUGAUGGUAUCUGGUCACACUGCUCUAUAUCUUGUGCUUUGUUCGCUUCUUGGAGACUGCUUCCUAUCGCUUCUUAAAGAGCUACUUUCUUUUUUAUGACUGCAUAGUAUUCUAAAAUAUUUGCGUUUAAUUCCCAUUAAGUUGGCACUUGCUCUGUGUACCGGUCUAAGCACUGCGGGAGAUAAUAGAAGUCUCAGCCAUGCCUCUGGCUCUCAGGGAUUUACAGUCUGGCUGAGAGAUGAGCAAAACAGUAAUUCCUAGAGUUACAAAGAAGAGCAAUUUCUCUAAUGGACCCCAAGUUCAUUUGUGAGGUGUGGCUUUGGGGCUCAUUUUUUUUUGUCUCCAGGUAUCUAGAGGGUCUAUUGAAGGAACCUAGGCAUGAGUUCUUUUGAGACUUGAAAACUCAGCAGUGCAGACUCAGGC